UGGGGAAUAUUGCACAAUGGAGGAAACUCUGAUGCAGCGACGCCGCGUGAACGACGAAGGUCUUCGGAUCGUAAAGUUCUGUCCUUGGGGACGAUAAUGACGGUACCCAAGGAGGAAGCCCCGGCUAACUACGUGCCAGCAGCCGCGGUAAUACGUAGGGGGCGAGCGUUGUCCGGAAUUAUUGGGCGUAAAGGGUUCGUAGGCGGUUAUAUAAGUCAGAUGUUAAAGGCGCAGGCUUAACCUGUGUAAGCAUUUGAAACUGUGUGACUUGAGUUAAGGAGAGGAAAGUGGAAUUCCUAGUGUAGCGGUGAAAUGCGUAGAUAUUAGGAGGAAUACCAGUGGCGAAGGCGACUUUCUGGACUUAUACUGACGCUGAGGAACGAAAGCGUGGGGAGCAAACAGG
This 403-nucleotide ribosomal RNA is filed under the name uncultured prokaryote. RNAcentral describes it as "bacterial SSU rRNA". It matches the Rfam family "Bacterial small subunit ribosomal RNA", at positions 355 to 776 of the family's 1533-position model. The record is from RNAcentral. RNAcentral also lists the same sequence under 1 other name.